AUUUUCUUUUUCAUAUAUAA
Molecule: microRNA, 20 nt
Filed under: Corchorus capsularis
Lineage: Eukaryota; Viridiplantae; Streptophyta; Magnoliopsida; Malvales; Malvaceae
Description: sRNA CCACVL1_28530
Source: RNAcentral